GAUUCUGGCUCAGGAUGAACGCUGGCGGCGUGCUUAAUACAUGCAAGUCGAACGGAGUAUGUAGCAAUACGUACUUAGUGGCGAACGGGUGAGUAACGCGUUGGUGACCUGCCUCGAAGAGAGGGAUAACAAUUCGAAAGGAUUGCUAAUACCUCAUGUGAUCAUAGGGUUUAGAAGCUUAUGAUUAAAGGAGUAAUUCACUUCGAGAGGGACCUGCGUACCAUCAGCUAGUUGGUGAGGUAACGGCCCACCAAGGCGAUGACGGUUAGGGGACCUGAGAGGGUCGGCCCCCCACAAUGGAACUGAAACACGGUCCAUACACCUACGGGUGGCAGCAGUAGGGAAUAUUAGUUAAUGUGCGAAAGCCGCGAACUAGCAACGCCGCGUGUGCGAUGAAGGCCUUCGGGUUGUAAAGCUACUUUCCAAGGGACGAGGAAGGACGGUACCUUGGGAAUAAGCAUCGGCUAACUACGUGCCAGCCGCCGC
RNAcentral lists this ribosomal RNA (486 nucleotides) under uncultured bacterium. Its description in RNAcentral is "bacterial SSU rRNA". It matches the Rfam family "Bacterial small subunit ribosomal RNA", at positions 15 to 518 of the family's 1533-position model. The record is from RNAcentral.